This 465-nucleotide ribosomal RNA is filed under the name Vreelandella stevensii. Its description in RNAcentral is "partial 16S ribosomal RNA". It matches the Rfam family "Bacterial small subunit ribosomal RNA", at positions 338 to 795 of the family's 1533-position model. The record is from RNAcentral. Lineage: Bacteria; Pseudomonadati; Pseudomonadota; Gammaproteobacteria; Oceanospirillales; Halomonadaceae.
CCUACGGGUGGCUGCAGUGGGGAAUAUUGGACAAUGGGGGCAACCCUGAUCCAGCCAUGCCGCGUGUGUGAAGAAGGCCCUCGGGUUGUAAAGCACUUUCAGUGAGGAAGAACGCCUGGUGGUUAAUACCCAUCAGGAAAGACAUCACUCACAGAAGAAGCACCGGCUAACUCCGUGCCAGCAGCCGCGGUAAUACGGAGGGUGCGAGCGUUAAUCGGAAUUACUGGGCGUAAAGCGCGCGUAGGUGGCUUGAUAAGCCGGUUGUGAAAGCCCCGGGCUCAACCUGGGAACGGCAUCCGGAACUGUCAAGCUAGAGUGCAGGAGAGGAAGGUAGAAUUCCCGGUGUAGCGGGGAAAUGCGUAGAGAUCGGGAGGAAUACCAGUGGCGAAGGCGGCCUUCUGGACUGACACUGACACUGAGGUGCGAAAGCGUGGGUAGCAAACAGGAUUAGAUACCACAGUAGUC